RNAcentral lists this ribosomal RNA (528 nucleotides) under Salmonella enterica subsp. enterica serovar Mississippi. RNAcentral's name for it is "partial 23S ribosomal RNA". It matches the Rfam family "Bacterial large subunit ribosomal RNA", at positions 671 to 1197 of the family's 2925-position model. The record is from RNAcentral. Lineage: Bacteria; Pseudomonadati; Pseudomonadota; Gammaproteobacteria; Enterobacterales; Enterobacteriaceae.
GGGAAACCGAGUCUUAAUUGGGCGUUAAGUUGCAGGGUAUAGACCCGAAACCCGGUGAUCUAGCCAUGGGCAGGUUGAAGGUUGGGUAACACUAACUGGAGGACCGAACCGACUAAUGUUGAAAAAUUAGCGGAUGACCUGUGGCUGGGGGUGAAAGGCCAAUCAAACCGGGAGAUAGCUGGUUCUCCCCGAAAGCUAUUUAGGUAGCGCCUCGUGAAUUCAUCUCCGGGGGUAGAGCACUGUUUCGGCUAGGGGGCCAUCCCGGCUUACCAACCCGAUGCAAACUGCGAAUACCGGAGAAUGUUAUCACGGGAGACACACGGCGGGUGCUAACGUCCGUCGUGAAGAGGGAAACAACCCAGACCGCCAGCUAAGGUCCCAAAGUCAUGGUUAAGUGGGAAACGAUGUGGGAAGGCCCAGACAGCCAGGAUGUUGGCUUAGAAGCAGCCAUCAUUUAAAGAAAGCGUAAUAGCUCACUGGUCGAGUCGGCCUGCGCGGAAGAUGUAACGGGGCUAAACCAUGCACCGA